RNAcentral lists this non-coding RNA (24 nucleotides) under Arabidopsis thaliana (thale cress). Lineage: Eukaryota; Viridiplantae; Streptophyta; Magnoliopsida; Brassicales; Brassicaceae. The record is from RNAcentral.
ACACUGCGCCACAAAUACAUCGGA